Molecule: long non-coding RNA, 289 nt
Filed under: Pan troglodytes (chimpanzee)
Lineage: Eukaryota; Metazoa; Chordata; Mammalia; Primates; Hominidae
Description: long non-coding RNA NONPTRT008418
Source: RNAcentral
GGGCAGUGAAGGUGUCGGGAGCCAGCAGAGCAUGUUCCAGGGUCACCCCCGAGAGGACAACAGGCAUCUGGAAGUGCUCUCUCGCCACUCUGGGUGCUUUACUGUCUCUGGCUUGUUUCCAUCACUGGAAAUCACUUAGAGAAUUGUAGUGUUUUUGGUCCUUGAUAAAGCCUAGAAGACAUUUGUGAUGUUACAAAAUGGAAGUUUUCUUUUGUUUCUGUUUUUUAAGAUCUAAGAAGUUGUGAAUGUUGUUAAUCAUUUAGCCGUUGCAAUAAAUGUAGAGGAAAUG